Molecule: transfer RNA, 74 nt
Filed under: Verrucomicrobiales bacterium
Lineage: Bacteria; Pseudomonadati; Verrucomicrobiota; Verrucomicrobiia; Verrucomicrobiales
Also listed under: 1 other name
Description: tRNA-Gln
Rfam family: tRNA
About the family: Transfer RNA (tRNA) molecules are approximately 80 nucleotides in length. Their secondary structure includes four short double-helical elements and three loops (D, anti-codon, and T loops).
Source: RNAcentral
UGCCUCGUGGUGUAACGGUAGCACGACAGAUUCUGACUCUGUUUGUUAAGGUUCGAAUCCUUACGAGGCAGCCA